Molecule: ribosomal RNA, 380 nt
Filed under: uncultured eukaryote
Lineage: Eukaryota
Description: partial 18S ribosomal RNA
Rfam family: Eukaryotic small subunit ribosomal RNA
Source: RNAcentral
CAAUAGCGUAUAUUAAAGUUGUUGCGGUUAAAAAGCUCGUAGUUGGAUUUCUGUUGAGAACGUCCGGUCCGCACUAUGUGCGUGUAUCUGGUUCGGUCUUGGCAUCCUCUUGAGGAACGUAUCUGCGCUUGAUUGCGUGGAGCGGUAUUCAAGACUUUUACUUUGAGGACAUUAGAGUGUUCACGGCAGGCAAGCGCCUUGAAUACGUUAGCAUGGAAUAAUAAUAUAGGAUCUUGGUUCUAUUUUGUUGGUUUCUAGGGCUAAGGUAAUGAUUAAUAGGGAUAAUUGGGGGCAUUUGUAUUAACGCGUCAGAGGUGGAAUUCUUGGAUUGCGUUACGACAAACUACUGCGAAAGCAUUUGCCAAGGAUGUUUUCAUUGA